CGUCAUAAAAGCUUCAUAUUUCAAUAUGGCCGAAGGUUUGUUUACUAUUUUAAUGCGAAUUUUGAUAAUAACUACAGUUUCAGCAAUAGAAAAUAUAAAUGAUACAGCAGUACAAAACAAUUUUAAAGCCGGCCAACUCAUUGACGACUCUCCCAAUCGCCUAUUGGACGCUCCUUUAGCGAAGUCUAGCACAAACUCGCAGUCAAGUACGUCACUACCAAUGAACGAGUUCUUCCAUCAAUUAUCAUAUCCACUGUCUCGAUCAAAAAGAGAAAAAAGAAGAUUUUCGUUGUCGAGGAAUUCGAAUUUUUUUCGACGAAAUGAAAAUUCUUGGGAAAGUCGAAGUAAAGAUAAGUCGAAUUCUGACAAGGAAAGUCAAAAACAGGACAAGCGAAUGAAAGAAUUGGAAACGGAAAUAAGAAAAGUCGAACAAGAUAAACAUAAACUUAAUGAACGUAUAAAAAAGCAUGGACCUUCGAAAUCGAAUGAAAAAGAAGAAAAAACGCUAGAUUCCAAGCUGAAGAGGCUACUUGAAGAGAAAAAUAAACUCGAAAGGGGAAAAACAGUAUCUGCCGUGGACGACAGAUGCCUGACGAACCCGUGUAAAAACGGAGGGACAUGUAAACAACAACCAAAUGAAAGUAGCAAAUUUGUCUGCAUUUGCCAUGUUGCAAACCGCGGCAAUUAUUGCCAAGACAAGACACAAAUAUGUUCCGCACUGAAGUGUGGCAGGAUCAAAGACUGUGUGUUCUCACCCUCGGGAACGCACUGCAUCUGUGAGGGAAUUCCACCCAACAAUGAUCAGUCCUGUAUGUCGGACAAGAAGCCCCAGUCGAAGAUAGGUACCGGUUGCUCAAAUCUUGGGACAUCGGAACAAAACAACGGACUUCACAGGCCUGUUGUAGACCAGUCGCAGACAGUGGAAUCUAAUAAGAAGAAGAGCACCACCAAGCAGUUGAUUGUAGGAAUCCUCGUUGUUAUUGUUAUCCUCGUGAGUGCCACGUGCUGCUUGUGCAUAAAAGCGAACAACAAACAGCGUGCACUCGAGAAACUGUACGUAGAGGCUCUUGACCAGGACUACAUGCCACCGGAAGAGCCCCCCGAGAUGUCGGGGGUGUGCAUGGAUGUCGUCAAGACGACCUGCUGUUGCGCCAAGUCGUCCUACCCUGACUCGUAUCUACCUCUGAAUCCUCAAUAGACAGGCGUUAUCUUGGUCCGUAUUCAUGUGAUCACCGUUCUAGGCAUUCUGGGCUUAAUGCAUGUGGGUGAUCGCCUCUGUUGCUCAAACGUACGGACAAACACACACAGUCAAACAUGGAAACCACGCUCUACCACCAUGCCAAUGGUCAAGGAAUUAUAACAUUACGAAAUACUUUGUUUACAAUUUCUCGCACAUCAUGUCGAUGACUUCCAUUACGUCCGUAAAGUUGUUAAAAAUUACGAUAGUUUUUUAUUGUGAUGUAAAAGCAUGCACAUGUAUUUUGUAAUUAAAUGACUGAAUUGAUAUUGAAAGGUAUAUUCAUUCGGUGCAGUAGAUAAAUGUUAAUGUUGUCA
Molecule: RNA transcript, 1554 nt
Organism: Dreissena polymorpha
Lineage: Eukaryota; Metazoa; Mollusca; Bivalvia; Myida; Dreissenidae
Exons: 7
Source: RefSeq, a predicted model, not a curated record